This 484-nucleotide ribosomal RNA is filed under the name uncultured bacterium. RNAcentral's name for it is "bacterial SSU rRNA". It matches the Rfam family "Bacterial small subunit ribosomal RNA", at positions 32 to 518 of the family's 1533-position model. The record is from RNAcentral.
AAUCAACGCUGGCGGCGUGCCUAACACAUGCAAGUCGAACGCGAAAGCCCCGCAAGGGGUGAGUAGAGUGGCAAACGGGUGAGUAACACGUGGGUGACCUGCCUUCGAGUGGGGGAUAACGUCCCGAAAGGGACGCUAAUACCGCAUAACAUCCUGCCUUUUAAGAGGUGGACAUCAAAGCUGGGGAUCGCAAGACCUAGCGCUUGAAGAGGGGCCCGCGCCUGAUUAGCUAGNGGUGGGGUAAUGGCUCACCAAGGCAACGAUCAGUAUCCGGCCUGAGAGGGCGGACGGACACACUGGGACUGAGACACGGCCCAAACUCCUACGGAGGCAGCAGUGGGGAAUAUUGGACAAUGGGCGCAAGCCUGAUCCAGCCAUGCCGCGUGAGUGAUGAAGGCCCUAGGGUUAGUAAAGCUCUUUUACCCCGGGAAGAUAAUGACUGUACCGGGAGAAUAACGCCCGGCUAACUUCGUGCCAGCCGCGC